UUUUUUUUCUUAUUUAACGUUUGUAAAAGCCUGACUUCUGAUAGUUUAACUUAUUUUUGCUUAAACCUUGCGUCCCUGUGGAUACUUUUGUGCAUAUGUAUGUUUUUGACUCGCCUGCAUUUUGUUUCGACUAUAUUUUGACAAGAAACUUAUCUUCAGUGGAUAUUUUAAUUUUUUAGCAUGAAUAAUCAAAGACCUCCACGAUUGAAACAGCUGUCUGGAGCUGCUGGGAGAAAAAGAGCGAUGAUUCGGAAAAAAAAAACGAAAGCAAAAACAAACGAACGCUUUUAGAUUGCGUUCGUUGGACAAAAAUCGAAGAUAAAUGCAAGCAGUUCAAUGAUAUUGAGAUCGGUAUCAAUGACUCUAAUGAGUUGCCAGACCAUAAUUCCGACAAACUUUUUCUUGCCGAUGACAUCGAUGACUCCCAAAAAACAUCAUCACAUUUAAAAAAGGAUCAGUUGGAUUUUGUACUUGAUUGUCACAAUGACCAACAAAUUUAUAAAAGUGAUCUUUCUAUACCAAUCUCUAACAAUCCUGCUCUAUGGAAAUCAAUAUCAGACACUGAUCGAACGAAUAUAAUUCUGAUGGGACCUUCUUCAAAUCCUAGCAAUUUUCCAAGAGAUCAAAAAGAACGCAAAUUCCCUACUUAUAUCUUUUUAGAGGAACAAAGAAACGGAAAAAAAGUUAAAAGAGAUUGGCUCGUUUGGA
Molecule: non-coding RNA, 708 nt
Organism: Hydra vulgaris (swiftwater hydra)
Lineage: Eukaryota; Metazoa; Cnidaria; Hydrozoa; Anthoathecata; Hydridae
Source: RefSeq, a predicted model, not a curated record